AGUCCAUGGUGAGGACAUUUGCGAAGCAUGUCCUUGAAACGCUCCCACGCCUCAUAAAGUGAUUCACCAUCUUCUUGACCAAAGGUGUUAAUAUCAUUUCUUUGCUU
This is a non-coding RNA of Helianthus annuus (common sunflower), 107 nucleotides long. NCBI's taxonomy places the organism in Eukaryota, Viridiplantae, Streptophyta, Magnoliopsida, Asterales, Asteraceae. The record is from Rfam.